Molecule: long non-coding RNA, 1191 nt
Organism: Alosa alosa (allis shad)
Lineage: Eukaryota; Metazoa; Chordata; Actinopteri; Clupeiformes; Clupeidae
Exons: 5
Source: RefSeq, a predicted model, not a curated record
UUAACAAGUUUCAAUUGAUAUUGAUUAUUAAUCACGUUUCCCCACCUUGAUGACACCUCAUAUUUGAACUUUCUCAGCCUCGAUAGUCUCACAACUCACAUAAGAAUGUAACAAAAGUUUGCCAACUUUAGCCAGCUAACCUUCACGAAACUUGAACCAAUUUUUUCAGUAACAUUAAGCUAAAACUUAACUAGCGCAGUAUCGAUAGCAUAGUUAACUUAACUACGACUCCUUCGGCAGUGAAAAAUCUAAAUGAUGUCUGGUUGGUCAUUCAACGGCACAAUGCAUUGAAAGACUUAACGUUAAAGUUUCACAUUAACUAAGGAAACAUGAGAGCUCGGCGAGGGAUAGAGCGUCCACAGACGGGACCGAACAGCAUGCUACACAUCGAUUGACAGAUCUGAGUAGCAGCAGCUAGCGUACUGUGGAAACUUUAUGAUGUCCAAGUUGGUGAAAUCUCUUUGCCUGUGAAUAGAACGCCAUCAGCAACUAUGGAGGACAAUGCAUGCAUGGUUUUAAAAAGUUUGAGUUCUGAAAUCAGUUGAUAAUGAGAUUAGUGUUAGGAGGCUCGUAGACAGGUGUCUUAAGGGAAGUCAGCCAUCCAGUACAAAUCAAGCUAGAGAAAGCCUGAAGUAUUGAUCACAGAUGUCAGAUUGUGUCUUUCUCAUCGUAUAACACUUCUUUCAAUCAGACCGUGGUUAGCAUCUGAACUGAGCCGCUUUACGAAGCAACGAUCCACCAUCACCGAACACAAAGGAGAAAUUUGGGGUUCAUCUGAGGUAGCAUCUCCCUGCCGCCCCAUAAAAAUUGACUGGUGCCUUAUGAGAAGGCUGCCUGCCACUGGUGCUGCUGACGUGCGUAGCCUACUCCGCUGAAGAGAUGGGCUGAUCCAUGGCCCCGUUAUUUUUACAUAAUCACUGAGUGGGAGGCUGGUGCUGAGAGAAGGGGGCUCAAGCAGUGGGCGAGAGAGAGAGAGAGAGAGAGAGAGAGAGAGAGAGAGAGAGUUCGGAGCCACUGAGAUGUGUGGGCAGACACCCUCAACAAAUGGAUACCAGUGCCUCAGCAUCUCAGUGUAGGGGAGGAAACUAUAAAAAAAAGGGAGUUAUGUAAAUACUCUUCAAAGCAUUGGUGACACACACACACCGGAUAUGGUUAUGAACUCCAGCAAUGCAAAAAUAUCCACAGAUUUUU